CCUACGGGGUGCUGCAGUGGGGAAUAUUGGACAAUGGGCGAAAGCCUGAUCCAGCCAUGCCGCGUGUGUGAAGAAGGCCUUCGGGUUGUAAAGCACUUUCAGUGGGGAAGAAAGCCUUGGGGCUAAUACCCUCGAGGAAGGACAUCACCCACAGAAGAAGCACCGGCUAACUCCGUGCCAGCAGCCGCGGUAAUACGGAGGGUGCGAGCGUUAAUCGGAAUUACUGGGCGUAAAGCGCGCGUAGGCGGUCUGAUAAGCCGGUUGUGAAAGCCCCCGGGCUCAACCUGGGAACGGCAUCCGGAACGGCCAGGUUGGGGUCAGGGGAGGGAAGGUAGAAUCCCGGUUGAGCGGGGGAAAUCGGUGGGGUCCGGAGGGAUACCAGGGGCGAAGGCCGGCUUCCGGACCUGCACUUGCGGCUGGGUGGCGAAGCGGUGGGUGGAAACAGGAUUAGAUACCCGAGUAGUC
This 465-nucleotide ribosomal RNA is filed under the name Vreelandella stevensii. RNAcentral's name for it is "partial 16S ribosomal RNA". It matches the Rfam family "Bacterial small subunit ribosomal RNA", at positions 338 to 795 of the family's 1533-position model. The record is from RNAcentral. Lineage: Bacteria; Pseudomonadati; Pseudomonadota; Gammaproteobacteria; Oceanospirillales; Halomonadaceae.